Molecule: long non-coding RNA, 347 nt
Filed under: Mustela putorius furo (domestic ferret)
Lineage: Eukaryota; Metazoa; Chordata; Mammalia; Carnivora; Mustelidae
Description: lncRNA (ENSMPUG00000031118.1)
Source: RNAcentral
CUGGGGUAGAAAAUAACCUUACACUUAGUGAACGAUCAUACUGGGACAGAGAGAGGAACUAAAGCUUCAGGGGAAAGGUCCUUCUGACAGGUUCAUGCAGCAAGCACCAGGAAGUGGUUUGGGAUGACCCAAUCAGCUGGGAUCAAAGACGAACGGCAGCUGCACUGCUCCAGAGACUCAGAUGUCCAUAUGUCUGAGAGAGAGAGAAAGAGCACACAAGCAAGAGGAGCAGGAGAGGGAGAAGCCUGCUGAGCCUGAUCUAGGACUCCAUCCCAGGACCCUGGGGUCAUGACCUGAGCCGAAGGCAGACACUUAACCAUCUGAACCACCCAGACGCCCCUGUAAUA